Molecule: ribosomal RNA, 388 nt
Filed under: uncultured eukaryote
Lineage: Eukaryota
Description: partial 18S ribosomal RNA
Rfam family: Eukaryotic small subunit ribosomal RNA
Source: RNAcentral
CAAUAUCGUAUAUUAAAGUUGUUGCAGUUAAAAAGCUCGUAGUUGGAUUUCUGAUCGAGACAUCAGGUCGGGUCCGAGAGGAUCAUGUACUUUGAUUUUGUUUUGAUCAUCCUUGGGGAGAGCAUUUCUGGCAUUCAGUUGUCGGGAUUGGGAUCCUCAUCGUUUACUGUGAAAAAAUUAGAGUGUUCAAAGCAGGCCUCGGCCUCUGAAUACAUUAGCAUGGAAUAAUAAGAUAGGACUUUGGUGGUCUAUUUUGUUGGUUUGCACGCCAAAGUAAUGAUUAAUAGGGAUAGUUGGGGGUAUUCGUAUUCAAUUGUCAGAGGUGAAAUUCUUGGAUUUAUGGAAGACGAACUACUGCGAAAGCAUUUACCAAGGAUGUUUUCAUUAA